RNAcentral lists this ribosomal RNA (482 nucleotides) under uncultured bacterium. RNAcentral's name for it is "partial 16S ribosomal RNA". It matches the Rfam family "Bacterial small subunit ribosomal RNA", at positions 28 to 507 of the family's 1533-position model. The record is from RNAcentral.
GUUGAACGCUGGCGGCAUGCUUUACACAUGCAAGUCGAACGGUAACAGGCCGCAAGGUGCUGACGAGUGGCGCACGGGUGAGUAAUGCAUCGGAACGUGCCCAGUCGUGGGGGAUAACUACUCGAAAGAGUAGCUAAUACCGCAUACGAUCUAUGGAUGAAAGCGGGGGACCGUAAGGCCUCGCGCGAUUGGAGCGGCCGAUGUCAGAUUAGGUAGUUGGUGGGGUAAAGGCUCACCAAGCCAACGAUCUGUAGCUGGUCUGAGAGGACGACCAGCCACACUGGGACUGAGACACGGCCCAGACUCCUACGGGAGGCAGCAGUGGGGAAUUUUGGACAAUGGGCGCAAGCCUGAUCCAGCAAUGCCGCGUGCAGGAAGAAGGCCUUCGGGUUGUAAACUGCUUUUGUACGGAACGAAACGGCUCUGGUUAAUACCCGGGGCUAAUGACGGUACCGUAAGAAUAAGCACCGGCUAACUACGUG